RNAcentral lists this long non-coding RNA (433 nucleotides) under Capsicum annuum. RNAcentral describes it as "long non-coding RNA (CANN_LNC022447)". Lineage: Eukaryota; Viridiplantae; Streptophyta; Magnoliopsida; Solanales; Solanaceae. The record is from RNAcentral.
GGGGGAGGUUAGAGAGGGGGGUAAUGGUGUCCAAUCUAAAAGGCCACCCCAACUCAUAGAAAACAUUAUCAACCCUCUUUUAAGACCGGAUAGGGUCUAACAUAUUGGGUACUAAGCUUACCCCUUUCUUACCAAACUGCAUCAGUCCCUUUAUGAGAGAAACCUUCAAGAAUACCCAAUCACACAUACUAAACUCUAAGCUCCUAUGCCAUAUGUCAACAUAGGAUUUUUUGGCAACUUUGAGUGGUUUUCAACCCCUCACAAAUCACCUUCACCUUUUUCUAAGGCACGGUAAACUAAACUGGGGUCAAGCAACGUACCCUUAGCAACCUCAUACCAUCAAAUGGGAGAACAAUAUCCCCCACUAUAUAAAGCCUUAAAAGGAACCCUAAAUCUUCCCCUCUUAGGGACUUCUACAUUUCCUAUUCCAACA